GAGUUUGAUCCGUGGCUCAGGAUGAACGCUGGCGGCGUGCUUAACGCAUGCAAGUCGAACGGGUGAGAGCGGAAACCUAGUGAAGCUCUCACGAGUGGCGGACGGGUGAGUAACGCGCGGGCAACCUGCCGUAUACAGGGGGAUAACACUUAGAAAUAGGUGCUAAAACCGCAUAAGCGCACAAAGGCCGCAUGGCCGGGUGCGAAAAACUCCGGUGGUAUACGAUGGACCCGCGUCCGAUUAGCUAGUUGGCGGGAUAAGAGCCCACCAAGGCGACGAUCGGUAGCCGGCCUGAGAGGGUGACCGGCCACAUUGGGACUGAGACACGGCCCAAACUCCUACGGGAGACAGCAGUGGGGAAUAUUGCACAAUGGGGGAAACCCUGAUGCAGCGACGCCGCGUGAGUGAAGAAGUAUUUCGGUAUGUAAAGCUCUAUCAGCAGGGAAGAAAAAAGACGGUACCUGAGUAAGAAGCCCCGGCUAACUACGUG
Molecule: ribosomal RNA, 490 nt
Filed under: uncultured Lachnospiraceae bacterium
Lineage: Bacteria; Bacillati; Bacillota; Clostridia; Lachnospirales; Lachnospiraceae
Description: bacterial SSU rRNA
Rfam family: Bacterial small subunit ribosomal RNA
Source: RNAcentral